AUAGAGUCAAGUGAAUAAGUGCAUCAGGUGGAUGCCUUGGCGAUGAUAGGCGACGAAGGACGUGUAAGCCUGCGAAAAGCAUCGGGGAGCUGGCAAUAAAGCUAUGAUCCGGUGAUGUCCGAAUGGGGAAACCCACUGCAUUCAGUGCAGUAUCCAUACCUGAAUACAUAGGGUAUGAGAAGCGAACCCGGAGAACUGAACCAUCUAAGUACCCGGAGGAAAAGAAAUCAACCGAGAUUCCGCAAGUAGUGGCGAGCGAACGCGGAGGAGCCUGUAUGUGAUAGCCGUUGAGAUAGAAGAACAAGCUGGGAAGCUUGGCCAUAGUGGGUGAUAGCCCCGUAUUCGAAAUCUCAUCGGUGGUACUAAGCAUACGACAAGUAGGGCGGGACACGUGGAAUCCUGUCUGAACAUGGGGGGACCAUCCUCCAAGGCUAAAUACUCAUCAUCGACCGAUAGUGAACCAGUACCGUGAGGGAAAGGCGAAAAGAACCCCGGGAGGGGAGUGAAACAGAACCUGAAACCUGAUGCAUACAAACAGUGGGAGCGGACUUGUUCCGUGACUGCGUACCUUUUGUAUAAUGGGUCAACGACUUACGUUCAGUAGCGAGCUUAACCGGAUAGGGGAGGCGUAGGGAAACCGAGUCUUAAUAGGGCGAUUAGUUGCUGGGCGUAGACCCGAAACCGAGUGAUCUAUCCAUGGCCAGGAUGAAGGUGCGGUAACACGCACUGGAGGUCCGAACCCACGCAUGUUGCAAAAUGCGGGGAUGAGCUGUGGAUAGGGGUGAAAGGCUAAACAAACUCGGAGAUAGCUGGUUCUCCCCGAAAACUAUUUAGGUAGUGCCUCGAGUAAGAGACUGAUGGGGGUAAAGCACUGUUAUGGCUAGGGGGUUAUUGCAACUUACCAACCCAUGGCAAACUAAGAAUACCAUCAAGUUGUUCCUCGGGAGACAGACAGCGGGUGCUAACGUCCGUUGUCAAGAGGGAAACAACCCAGACCGCCAGCUAAGGUCCCAAAUGACAGAUUAAGUGGUAAACGAAGUGGGAAGGCCCAGACAGCCAGGAUGUUGGCUUAGAAGCAGCCAUCAUUUAAAGAAAGCGUAAUAGCUCACUGGUCGAGUCGUCCUGCGCGGAAGAUGUAACGGGGCUCAAAUCUGUAACCGAAGCUGCGGAUGCUAGCAAUAGCAUGGUAGGGGAGCGUUCUGUAGGCCGAAGAAGGUGUGUUGUAAAGCAUGCUGGAGGUAUCAGAAGUGCGAAUGUUGACAUGAGUAGCGAUAAAGCGGGUGAAAAGCCCGCUCGCCGAAAGCCCAAGGUUUCCUACGCAACGUUCAUCGGCGUAGGGUGAGUCGGCCCCUAAGGCGAGGCAGAAAUGCGUAGUCGAUGGGAAACGGGUUAAUAUUCCCGUACUUUGAUUCAAUGCGAUGUGGGGACGGAGAAGGUUAGGUUAGCAAACUGUUGGAAUAGUUUGUUCAAGCCGGUAGGUGGAAGACUUAGGCAAAUC
This 1498-nucleotide ribosomal RNA is filed under the name Neisseria animalis. RNAcentral's name for it is "bacterial LSU rRNA". It matches the Rfam family "Bacterial large subunit ribosomal RNA", at positions 1 to 1542 of the family's 2925-position model. Lineage: Bacteria; Pseudomonadati; Pseudomonadota; Betaproteobacteria; Neisseriales; Neisseriaceae. The record is from RNAcentral.